RNAcentral lists this ribosomal RNA (757 nucleotides) under Vibrio parahaemolyticus. RNAcentral's name for it is "partial 23S ribosomal RNA". It matches the Rfam family "Bacterial large subunit ribosomal RNA", at positions 521 to 1282 of the family's 2925-position model. The record is from RNAcentral. Lineage: Bacteria; Pseudomonadati; Pseudomonadota; Gammaproteobacteria; Vibrionales; Vibrionaceae.
GAACCCCUGUGAGGGGAGUGAAAUAGAACCUGAAACCGUGUACGUACAAGCAGUAGGAGCACCUUCGUGGUGUGACUGCGUACCUUUUGUAUAAUGGGUCAGCGACUUAUAUUCAGUGGCAAGGUUAACCAUCUAGGGGAGCCGUAGGGAAACCGAGUCUUAACUGGGCGUUCAGUCUCUGGAUAUAGACCCGAAACCAGGUGAUCUAGCCAUGGGCAGGUUGAAGGUUGAGUAACAUCAACUGGAGGACCGAACCGACUAAUGUUGAAAAAUUAGCGGAUGACUUGUGGCUAGGGGUGAAAGGCCAAUCAAACCUGGAGAUAGCUGGUUCUCCCCGAAAGCUAUUUAGGUAGCGCCUCGGACGAAUACUACUGGGGGUAGAGCACUGUUAAGGCUAGGGGGUCAUCCCGACUUACCAACCCUUUGCAAACUCCGAAUACCAGUAAGUACUAUCCGGGAGACACACGGCGGGUGCUAACGUCCGUCGUGGAGAGGGAAACAACCCAGACCGCCAGCUAAGGUCCCAAAUUAUAGCUAAGUGGGAAACGAUGUGGGAAGGCUUAGACAGCUAGGAUGUUGGCUUAGAAGCAGCCAUCAUUUAAAGAAAGCGUAAUAGCUCACUAGUCGAGUCGGCCUGCGCGGAAGAUGUAACGGGGCUAAGCUAUAAACCGAAGCUGCGGCAAUGAAGUUUACUUCAUUGGGUAGGGGAGCGUUCUGUAAGCCGUUGAAGGUGUGUUGUAAAGCAUGCUGGAGGUAU